CCGAUUUUGACAUGAUCUAGUUCUAUAUGUUUGAGAUCAUCAUAUUUGAUCAUUAGUCUAUCCUGAACUGGUUUCUUUUUUAAUGGUUUUGAUGACUCUCUGGAAGGAAUGAGGGUUCAUUGGUUGGCUUGAAAGGGAUCUUGAUCUUGAACUCUGCAUUACUGCAAAUAUUCAUGAGUUGGCGAAAUCGUCUCCGGGCCGAAAGGGGAUUUUUCGCAGACAGAAGGAACUUUGAAGAAACAGCCAUUCUGAUGCUCACUUCACAUUCCGACUGCGAGCCUGAGCAUGAAUAAGGCAGAGUCAGCCAAGGCGAGGGAGUAAAUGGAAGAAACUGAUUUGUCACUGGAUCUGAAAAAGCAUCAUGAAGACAACGCAGGCGAAUUGCAAAGUGUCAGAAUGAACCGCACAGUGCUCCAGAUUCGAAGAAAGAUGAAUAUGAUGGGUAUAAUGGUUAGUUUGCGAUCUGCGAUUGAAGAUCUUGUGUGAUGGCUGGAACUGCUGAUGAGGAUAGGGCGAUACUCUGAUAAGGCUUCGUGCUGA
Molecule: long non-coding RNA, 540 nt
Organism: Stegostoma tigrinum
Lineage: Eukaryota; Metazoa; Chordata; Chondrichthyes; Orectolobiformes; Stegostomatidae
Exons: 4
Source: RefSeq, a predicted model, not a curated record